This 291-nucleotide ribosomal RNA is filed under the name Triticum aestivum (bread wheat). Its description in RNAcentral is "partial small subunit ribosomal RNA". Lineage: Eukaryota; Viridiplantae; Streptophyta; Magnoliopsida; Poales; Poaceae. The record is from RNAcentral.
AUGGCGGGCAUGGGGAAGCAGCCGGUGGUGGCGGCGCUGAUGCUGGCGCUGGUGGUGCUGGCGGCGGCGCCGGGCGGGGCGCACGCGGCGUGCCAGGCAUCGCAGCUGGCGGUGUGCGCGUCGGCGAUCCUGAGCGGGGCCAAGCCGAGCGGUGAGUGCUGCGGCAACCUGAGGGCGCAGCAGGGGUGCUUCUGCCAGUACGCCAAGGACCCCACCUACGGGCAGUACAUCCGCAGCCCCCACGCGCGCGACACCCUCCAGUCCUGCGGCCUCGCCGUCCCCCACUGCUAG